This 491-nucleotide ribosomal RNA is filed under the name uncultured bacterium. RNAcentral describes it as "partial 16S ribosomal RNA". It matches the Rfam family "Bacterial small subunit ribosomal RNA", at positions 29 to 507 of the family's 1533-position model. The record is from RNAcentral.
GUGAACGCUGGCGGUAGGCCUAACCCAUGCAAGUCGAACGGCAGCACAGUAAGAGCUUGCUCUUACGGGUGGCGAGUGGCGGACGGGUGAGGAAUACAUCGGAAUCUACUUUUUCGUGGGGGAUAACGUAGGGAAACUUACGCUAAUACCGCAUACUACCUACGGGUGAAAGCAGGGGAUCUUCGGACCUUGCGCGAUUGAAUGAGCCGAUGUCGGAUUAGCUAGUUGGCGGGGUAAAGGCCCACCAAGGCGACGAUCCGUAGCUGGUCUGAGAGGAUGAUCAGCCACACUGGAACUGAGACACGGUCCAGACUCCUACGGGAGGCAGCAGUGGGGAAUAUUGGACAAUGGGCGCAAGCCUGAUCCAGCCAUACCGCGUGGGUGAAGAAGGCCUUCGGGUUGUAAAGCCCUUUUGUUGGGAAAGAAAAGCAGCAGGUUAAUACCCCGCUGUUCUGACGGUACCCAAAGAAUAAGCACCGGCUAACUUCGUG